Molecule: ribosomal RNA, 468 nt
Filed under: uncultured bacterium
Lineage: Bacteria
Description: partial 16S ribosomal RNA
Rfam family: Bacterial small subunit ribosomal RNA
Source: RNAcentral
GACGAACGCUGGCGGCGUGCUUAACACAUGCAAGUCGAACGGAAAGGCCCUGCUUUUGUGGGGUGCUCGAGUGGCGAACGGGUGAGUAACACGUGAGUAACCUGCCCUUGACUUUGGGAUAACUUCAGGAAACUGGGGCUAAUACCGGAUAGGAGCUCCUGCUUCAUGGUGGGGGUUGGAAAGUUUCGGCGGUUGGGGAUGGACUCGCGGCUUAUCAGCUUGUUGGUGGGGUAGUGGCUUACCAAGGCUUUGACGGGUAGCCGGCCUGAGAGGGUGACCGGCCACAUUGGGACUGAGAUACGGCCCAGACUCCUACGGGAGGCAGCAGUGGGGAAUAUUGCACAAUGGGCGGAAGCCUGAUGCAGCAACGCCGCGUGCGGGAUGACGGCCUUCGGGUUGUAAACCGCUUUCGCCUGUGACGAAGCGUGAGUGACGGUAAUGUGUAAAGAAGCACCGGCUAACUACGUG